This 382-nucleotide ribosomal RNA is filed under the name uncultured soil bacterium. RNAcentral's name for it is "bacterial SSU rRNA". It matches the Rfam family "Bacterial small subunit ribosomal RNA", at positions 26 to 412 of the family's 1533-position model. The record is from RNAcentral.
AGAUUGAACGCUGGCGGCAUGCCUUACACAUGCAAGUCGAACGGCAGCACGGGAGCAAUCCUGGUGGCGAGUGGCGAACGGGUGAGUAAUACAUCGGAACGUGCCCAAUCGUGGGGGAUAACGCAGCGAAAGCUGUGCUAAUACCGCAUAAGAUCUACGGAUGAAAGCAGGGGAUCGCAAGACCUUGCGCGAAUGGAGCGGCCGAUGGCAGAUUAGGUAGUGGUGAGGUAAAGGCUCACCAAGCCUUCGAUCUGUAGCUGGUCUGAGAGGACGACCAGCCACACUGGGACUGAGACACGGCCAGACUCGUACGGGAGCAGCAGGUGGGAAUUUGGACAGUGGGACGAAGCCUGAUCCGAGCCAUCGCCGCGUGCAGGAUGAA